AACCCAUGUUGAGGAUAUUUUCGCAGAAGUUCCUUGAAACUUUCCCAUUUCACAAAUAGAGACUCUAAUUCCAUUUGCACGAAGGAAGAAAUCUCAUUCCUAAGCUU
Molecule: small nucleolar RNA, 107 nt
Organism: Dioscorea cayenensis subsp. rotundata (Guinea yam)
Lineage: Eukaryota; Viridiplantae; Streptophyta; Magnoliopsida; Dioscoreales; Dioscoreaceae
Source: RefSeq, a predicted model, not a curated record